RNAcentral lists this ribosomal RNA (502 nucleotides) under uncultured Glomeromycotina. Its description in RNAcentral is "partial small subunit ribosomal RNA". It matches the Rfam family "Eukaryotic small subunit ribosomal RNA", at positions 591 to 1092 of the family's 1831-position model. Lineage: Eukaryota; Fungi; Glomeromycota. The record is from RNAcentral.
CCAAUAGCGUAUAUUAAAGUUGUUGCAGUUAAGAAGCUCGUAGUUGAAUUUCGGAAUCUGUCCGUUGGUCGGGCUUUAUUGUCCGUACUGGUGUGAUGGGUUCUUACCUUCUGAAUAACCAGCAUGCCAUUCAUUUGGUGCGUUGGGGAAGCAGGACUAUUACCUUGAAAAAAUUAGAGUGCCCAAAGCAGGCUAGUGCCUGAAUACAUUAGAAUGGAAUAAUAAAAUAGGACGGCAUGGUUCUAUUUUGUUGGUUUCUAGGAUCACCGUAAUGAUUAAUAGGGAUAGUUGGGGGCAUUAGUAUUCAAUUGUCAGAGGUGAAAUUCUUGGAUUUAUUGAAGACUAACUUCUGCGAAAGCAUUUGCCAAGGAUGCUUUCAUUAAUCAAGAACGAAAGUUAGGGGAUCGAAGACGAUCAGAUACCGUCGUAGUCUUAACCAUAAACUAUGCCGACUAGGGAUCGGACGAUGUUAAUUUUUUAAUGACUCGUUCGGCGCCUUACG